RNAcentral lists this ribosomal RNA (468 nucleotides) under uncultured bacterium. Its description in RNAcentral is "partial 16S ribosomal RNA". It matches the Rfam family "Bacterial small subunit ribosomal RNA", at positions 28 to 507 of the family's 1533-position model. The record is from RNAcentral.
GACGAACGCUGGCGGCGUGCUUAACACAUGCAAGUCGAACGGAAAGGCCCUGCUUUUGUGGGGUGCUCGAGUGGCGAACGGGUGAGUAACACGUGAGUAACCUGCCCUUGACUUUGGGAUAACUUCAGGAAACUGGGGCUAAUACCGGAUAGGAGCUCCUGCUGCAUGGUGGGGGUUGGAAAGUUUCGGCGGUUGGGGAUGGACUCGCGGCUUAUCAGCUUGUUGGUGGGGUAGUGACUUACCAAGGCUUUGACGGGUAGCCGGCCUGAGAGGGUGACCGGCCACAUUGGGACUGAGAUACGGCCCAGACUCCUACGGGAGGCAGCAGUGGGGAAUAUUGCACAAUGGGCGGAAGCCUGAUGCAGCAACGCCGCGUGCGGGAUGACGGCCUUCGGGUUGUAAACCGCUUUCGCCGGUGACGAAGAGUGAGUGACGGUAAUGGGUAAAGAAGCACCGGCUAACUACGUG